UACAGAGGUCUCAAGCGUUGUUCGGAUUCAUUGGGCGUAAAGGGCGCGUAGGCUGCGGGGCAAGUCGGGUGUGAAAUUUCGGAGCUUAACUCCGAAACUGCAUUCGAUACUGGCGUGCUUGAGGACUGGAGAGGAGACUGGAAUUCAUGGUGUAGCAGUGAAAUGCGUAGAGAUCAUGAGGAAGACCAGUGGCGAAGGCGGGUCUCUGGACAGUUCCUGACACUGAGACACGAAGGCUAGGGGAGCAAACGGG
RNAcentral lists this ribosomal RNA (253 nucleotides) under uncultured bacterium. RNAcentral's name for it is "partial 16S ribosomal RNA". It matches the Rfam family "Bacterial small subunit ribosomal RNA", at positions 524 to 776 of the family's 1533-position model. The record is from RNAcentral.